RNAcentral lists this long non-coding RNA (655 nucleotides) under Castor canadensis (American beaver). RNAcentral describes it as "lncRNA (ENSCCNG00000003283.1)". The record is from RNAcentral. Lineage: Eukaryota; Metazoa; Chordata; Mammalia; Rodentia; Castoridae.
GCUGCCUGGAUGAGGACUUAGGCAGGCCUCUGAUCUCUGAAUCCAGCUUAGCCUUAGACACUCGGGCCCUAGUACCUAAAAGAGGCCUGUUUGUCCUGGGUGCUGUCCUUUCCCACAGGCUCCUGCUUGAUGUCUAAGUCUCCUGUGCACAAUAGGCCUGGCGUGUUCUGACAGCCCAUAUCUACAGAUGUAGACCAGAGGCUUGGGAAAAAGGAGCAGGAAAGUGUCCUGGAUUUCUGGAGGUCUGCUUUAAGGCUCGUCAGUUCUGCAUGAAAGGAAAAGCCGAGGAGGAGACUGUCUCAAAUCUCUGGAGGACCCCUGAAGUCUGCUGUGGGGCUUAACAUCACUUGAACACAGACAGGAGGAAGAAAUUGCAGCGCAUCAGUGAAGAUCCACCUGCAGUGGCAGGUCCUGUGGUGUUGGAGUUGCUGCUAAAUAACCACUCUCAUCUGGUCUGCACCCACCCAGGAACCAUCCAUCCUUCCCCAGCCUGGUUGUGCCUCUUCUGCACUUUAUCUGUAUUAUUGACUGAGACUGUGCUUGGGUAGAACCAUCCCUGAUUCCUGGAGGCACAAAGUGAUUUUUCCACCUGAUUCUAGUACAUGAAGGUUAAUAGAUACAAGACAAACUAGCAUUUUGGCCUCCUUAUACAAAC